UACGGAGGAUGCGAGCGUUAUCCGGAUUUAUUGGGUUUAAAGGGUGCGUAGGCGGGCUGUUAAGUCAGCGGUAAAAUUGCGGGGCUCAACCCCGUCGAGCCGUUGAAACUGGCGGCCUUGAGUAGGCGAGAAGUGUGCGGAAUGCGUGGUGUAGCGGUGAAAUGCAUAGAUAUCACGCAGAACUCCGAUUGCGAAGGCAGCACGCCGGCGCCUUACUGACGCUGAAGCACGAAAGCGUGGGUAUCGAACAGC
RNAcentral lists this ribosomal RNA (252 nucleotides) under uncultured bacterium. Its description in RNAcentral is "partial 16S ribosomal RNA". It matches the Rfam family "Bacterial small subunit ribosomal RNA", at positions 524 to 776 of the family's 1533-position model. The record is from RNAcentral.